RNAcentral lists this transfer RNA (71 nucleotides) under Phaeocystis globosa. It matches the Rfam family "tRNA". From Rfam's summary of the family: Transfer RNA (tRNA) molecules are approximately 80 nucleotides in length. The record is from RNAcentral. Lineage: Eukaryota; Haptophyta; Phaeocystales; Phaeocystaceae.
AGAUAUAGCUAAAAUUGGUUAAGGCGACGGUUUUUGAUACUGUUAUUCGUUGGUUCAAAUCCAACUAUCUC